This 212-nucleotide long non-coding RNA is filed under the name Lathyrus oleraceus (garden pea). RNAcentral describes it as "Pisum sativum (pea) long non-coding RNA (PSAT_LNC037855)". Lineage: Eukaryota; Viridiplantae; Streptophyta; Magnoliopsida; Fabales; Fabaceae. The record is from RNAcentral.
GACCGUUCGAUGAUUUUUCUUGAAUGGGUUCCCACAUGGCUGUUAGAUGAGAUGUGAACCAUGACAUGUAGUUCAAUCUACCUAAUAGACCACGAACCUCUUUUUCUGUUCUCGGUUCAGGCAUUUCUCACAUUGUGUUUUUUUUUUUUUAGCAGGAACCUCGAUUCCCCUCUGACAAUGAACCCCAACAUCUUACCGGAUCGCACUUUGAU